Molecule: ribosomal RNA, 253 nt
Filed under: uncultured bacterium
Lineage: Bacteria
Description: partial 16S ribosomal RNA
Rfam family: Bacterial small subunit ribosomal RNA
Source: RNAcentral
UACGUAGGGUCCGAGCGUUGUCCGGAAUUAUUGGGCGUAAAGAGCUCGUAGGCGGUUUGUCGCGUCUGCUGUGAAAUCCCGAGGCUCAACCUCGGGCCUGCAGUGGGUACGGGCAGACUGGAGUGCGGUAGGGGAGAAUGGAAUUCCAGGUGUAGCGGUGAAAUGCGUAGAUAUCUGGAGGAAUACCGGUGGCGAAGGCGGCAUCCUGGACCAUAACUGACGCUGAGGCGCGAAAGCUAGGGGAGCAAACGGG